UAGGGAAUCUUCCGCAAUGGACGCAAGUCUGACGGAGCAACGCCGCGUGAGUGAAGAAGGAUUUCGGUUCGUAAAACUCUGUUGUUAGAGAAGAACAGCGCAUAGAGUAACUGUUAUGCGUGUGACGGUAUCUAACCAGAAAGCCACGGCUAACUACGUGCCAGCAGCCGCGGUAAUACGUAGGUGGCAAGCGUUGUCCGGAUUUAUUGGGCGUAAAGCGAGCGCAGGCGGUCAAUUAAGUCUGAUGUGAAAGCCCCCGGCUCAACCGGGGAGGGUCCUUGGAGACUGGUUAACUGGAGUGCAGAAGAGGAGGGUGGAAUUACAUGUGUAGCGGUGAAAUGCGUAGAUAUAUGGAGGAACACCAGUGGCGAAGGCGACUCUCUGGACUGUAACUGACGCUGAGGCUCGAAAGCGUGGGUAGCAAACAGG
RNAcentral lists this ribosomal RNA (429 nucleotides) under Bacteroidota bacterium. Its description in RNAcentral is "Bacteroidetes bacterium partial 16S ribosomal RNA". It matches the Rfam family "Bacterial small subunit ribosomal RNA", at positions 355 to 776 of the family's 1533-position model. Lineage: Bacteria; Pseudomonadati; Bacteroidota. The record is from RNAcentral.